This 206-nucleotide ribosomal RNA is filed under the name uncultured bacterium. Its description in RNAcentral is "partial 16S ribosomal RNA". It matches the Rfam family "Bacterial small subunit ribosomal RNA", at positions 1285 to 1500 of the family's 1533-position model. The record is from RNAcentral.
GUCCCAGUUCGGACUGGAGUCUGNAACCCGACUCCACGAAGUUGGAUUCGCUAGUAAUCGCGCAUCAGCCAUGGCGCGGUGAAUACGUUCCCGGGCCUUGUACACACCGCCCGUCAAGCCAUGGAGCCGGGGCGCCUGAAGUCCGGGACCGCGAGGACCGGCCUAGGGCGAAACUGGUGACUGGGGCUAAGUCGUAACAAGGUACC